Molecule: ribosomal RNA, 200 nt
Filed under: uncultured bacterium
Lineage: Bacteria
Description: partial 16S ribosomal RNA
Rfam family: Bacterial small subunit ribosomal RNA
Source: RNAcentral
UACAGAGACUGCAAGCGUUAUUCGGAUUCACUGGGCGUAAAGGGUGCGCAGGCGGCCAGAUGUGUCAGGUGUGAAAGCCCGGGGCUCAACCCCGGAAUUGCGCCUGAAACUGUCUGGCUAGAGUACUGGAGAGGGUAGCGGAAUUCACGGUGUAGCAGUGAAAUGCGUAGAUAUCGUGAGGAACACCAGAGGCGAAGGCG